ACUAUUACUGCUAGAUUGUCAUGCAUCAAAGUAAACAAAUUCAUCAAUCUCUCCUUUCUGGCUGAUUUUUCUAUAAAGUAGUUCUGUAGAAGGAACAUGGGCAUGGGCAAGUCUCAUCUGUUAGUAUGCUUUAUGGCAUUCUUAUCUGGCAUUUUGGCUCAAAAACGAGAAAUCACUCUGCCUGACCUUCCAGUCAGCAGGAGAUACUAAUGUUUUGCUCACCAUCGCCAUAUUGGUGUGAUGUGACAUGAAAACUAUUAAUACUAUGGCUUAAAUGUUUAUGCACAUGUAUAAAUGUGGAUUUGGCAUAUACUUUGUGUUGCUAAAAUCCAUAUUAAUAAAGUUGCAAGCCAAAAUCGCAGCAUAAGAUUUCAUAUUUUUAUUCACAACUAUAGGCAUUUAUGCAUUCCAAGGGUUUUUGUGGGGGAGAAAUUUUAGCAAAGUCCUUAAAGGUGUUCUCUAGCUAGAUUCUAGAUUGUGCAUUCAGCAAGUAUCUUAGGUAUCUUGGUAUUUAAAGGUAUGUUUCAGUAGGGGUGCGUCACAGAGAAAACCAUCACAGCAUACUUGACAGCGUCUAGUUUUAGUAUAUAAAGGCGGUAACACACACUCACACCUCUCAGAUUGCUCUUCAGAAGGCAGUACGACAGCUGUAAAGAGAUUGGAUAUUUACACUUUUCCUCUUCAAAAGAUAAAAGUGUGUAAUGACAUGAUUCAUCUAGAAAACUGCAUAACUGUCAGAAACCACAGACAAUCGGAACACCAGCAGCACUGGAGGCCGGAAAUAAAUAAAAAACAAGCGGCUCGGGAGAGAAAUACAGCCAGACUUGUGAGAUGGAACAGUAUGGACAGAGUAAAACCAGACUUGAAAGACAAUCCUGAUGAGUGUCCAAAGGUUCAUUCUGCUGUCAAAUCUAAGACCAUCACAUCAGGAAGAAAAACCAAAAAGAACAAAAAA
This is a non-coding RNA of Danio rerio (zebrafish), 955 nucleotides long. The record is from RefSeq and is a predicted model, not a curated record. Lineage: Eukaryota; Metazoa; Chordata; Actinopteri; Cypriniformes; Danionidae.